Ixodes scapularis (black-legged tick) is the source of this 45-nucleotide non-coding RNA. NCBI's taxonomy places the organism in Eukaryota, Metazoa, Arthropoda, Arachnida, Ixodida, Ixodidae. The record is from Rfam.
CAAACGGCCCUUUUUAGGGCCACCCACCAUCUUUUAUCGGCAAGA